ACGGGUGAGUAAUACAUAAGUAACCUGGCCUUUACAGGGGGAUAACUGUUGGAAACGAUAGCUAAGACCGCAUAGGUGUGAUAACCGCAUGGAGAUGACAUGAAAUAUGCUACGGCAUAGGUAGAGGAUGGACUUAUGGCGCAUUAGCUAGUUGGAGGGGUAACGGCCCACCAAGGCGACGAUGCGUAGCCGACCUGAGAGGGUGACCGGCCACACUGGGACUGAGACACGGCCCAGACUCC
Molecule: ribosomal RNA, 242 nt
Filed under: uncultured Coprobacillus sp.
Lineage: Bacteria; Bacillati; Bacillota; Erysipelotrichia; Erysipelotrichales; Coprobacillaceae
Description: partial 16S ribosomal RNA
Rfam family: Bacterial small subunit ribosomal RNA
Source: RNAcentral